RNAcentral lists this ribosomal RNA (472 nucleotides) under uncultured bacterium. Its description in RNAcentral is "bacterial SSU rRNA". It matches the Rfam family "Bacterial small subunit ribosomal RNA", at positions 8 to 525 of the family's 1533-position model. The record is from RNAcentral.
AGAGUUUGAUCAUGGCUCAGAACGUACGCUGGCGGCACGCUUAACACAUGCAAGUCGAACGAAGUAGCAAUACUUAGUGGCAGACGGGUGAGUAACAUGUGGGUAUCUGCCCUUUGGCCUGGAAUAACACGAGGAAACUUGUGCUAAUACUGGAUAAGUCUUUACGGAGAAAGCUUUAUGCACCAUUGGAUGAGCCCGCACUUGAUUAGUUUGUUGGUAGGGUAAUGGCCUACCAAGACUGUGAUCAAUAGCUGAUUUGAGAGGAUGAUCAGCCACAUUGGGACUGAGACACGGCCCAAACUCCUACGGGAGGCAGCAGUGGGGAAUCUUGCACAAUGGAGGAAACUCUGAUGCAGCGAUGCCGCGUGAGUGAAGAAGGCCUUUGGGUUGUAAAGCUCUUUCGUCGGGGAAGAAAAUGACUGUACCCGAAUAAGAAGGUCCGGCUAACUUCGUGCCAGCCGCCGCGGUACUU